Molecule: long non-coding RNA, 697 nt
Organism: Hordeum vulgare subsp. vulgare (domesticated barley)
Lineage: Eukaryota; Viridiplantae; Streptophyta; Magnoliopsida; Poales; Poaceae
Exons: 4
Source: RefSeq, a predicted model, not a curated record
CUGUAUUCUGGAUCGCUGGCCCUUCCAGCAGCUGACUAACAGAGUUGUAGAAAGACAAUUUCAGCAUUACAGAAAAGUUAAAAAGCUGGUCUUAGUUCACCAAAUGCUUGUCUUUUGUAGCGAUAUACAAGAUGUAUAUUAUGUUCAAAUCGCAUUAUCUCUAUUUCUCAUUUUAUAAAAUUUAUCCACUUUGACUUUCCAGUGGUGCAGAUGUGCUCGUUAUAUAUCUUCCCUUAGUUCUGAAUUAGCUAUAUUUCUACUGUUUUUUGGUUGAAUUUCAUUUUCGCAAUUGUGGACCAGGAUAUUCGGUUUAUUUGCUAAUCAGUGUGUUCAUUCUAAUGCAGAGCAUAGACAUGUUGGAUCCACUAACUUCAAUCUACUAAGUAGUAGAAGUCAUACAAUUUUUACACUGAACCUCAUCGAUCUGGCUGGUUCAGAGAGCUCAAGGGCAGAAACAAAUGGAGUACGCUGGAAGGAAGGAUCUUAUAUCAAUAAAAGCUUGCUAACUCUUGGAACGUAUGCGACUUAGCUCUGCAGCGCCCGACCAUCAUGCGCCGAUGUGUAUCUAGCAUUUCGAUGACAAGAGAUGACAAAGAUUUUGAAGGAUGAUCUGAAGCACCCAAAAGAAGUAAAGGACAGGUCAGGAGGGAACAAGAAGCUUCGUUUAUCAUUGAUGUUAUGUGUGAUCAAUAAAAAC